Camelus dromedarius (Arabian camel) is the source of this 11258-nucleotide RNA transcript. It is a transcript of the gene named olfactory receptor 14A2-like, with no coding region annotated. The transcript has 4 exons. NCBI's taxonomy places the organism in Eukaryota, Metazoa, Chordata, Mammalia, Artiodactyla, Camelidae. The record is from RefSeq and is a predicted model, not a curated record.
CUCCACAGUCCCCACCAUCCCCUAUUCUGUUCCUCAGCUGGACUCACUAGUUGACAUAUCUGACCAUCCUCUGUAGAUACUUGAGUCUAAGGCCUCCAGGGAAGACGCACCAUGCACGUGGGUUUAAUGAAGACAUGCUUGAGCGCCACCCCCACCUCCCCAUCUCUUCCUUCCAGGGCUUUGUUGCUGCGUCGUCCUCCGCGUGCCCUUCUCCUUGAGCAUCCUCUGCUGUUCAGGAGCGUUUCCAAAGGCAGAACAUGACCGGUCUUUCAGCAGUACCUGUCUUCAUCCUCCGGGGCUCCUCGGAGGUCCCUGAGGUGCAACUGCUCAGUGCUGCUGUCUUCCUUCUGGUUUACCUGGCUGCGAUUCUGGGGAACAUCUCCAUUGUGGCUGCCAUGAGCCUGGAUCCCCGUCUGCACACGCCCAGGUCAGUGCUUGAAGGUGGUCCUGGGUGUCUCUUCACCACAAAGUCUUCCUGAGACCAGAUUUCUCCACCAUCCCCCAUGGUCUCCUUAUCCACGUGGUAGGAGGUGGUCACUGGCACCUCAUUCACGCUCCAGCUGCCAGAAGGAGGACGGAGGAAGCAGAGGGCAAGCAACGUGCUCUGAAGGCGUGACCCGGAAGUCGGGAGCCCACUGGCUAGCGCUUAGUCACGUGGCCACACUGACCUGCAAGCUGACUUUGGGAUGCUUCAGAAGGCCCCUGAGACAUCUCAGAGAAAAAUAUUAAAGUACCUAGGACCGGCUGGUAUGUUGAAUUACAUGGGGAGCACUGUCAACCGCGUGCUGGUGUAAGUGAUGAAGUGUAUGGGCUGUAAAGUGUUUCCCUGUUAACAUACCUCUGAGCCUGUUCACCGCAUCUGAUCAGUUCCCCCAACGUGACUGACUAGGCAAAUAUAAAGGAGGCCUAGCACCGAGGGACAUGCUCUAAGCCUGGGACCGAAGCCACCACGUCAGCAUCCAGGGACAGGUAAUUCGAUCAUCAGUGCUUUCUACUGAAAGAUCUGUAAUCCAAGGGGGAAACAUGGAAAAACCUGCACAUACUGAGCCCCUUCACCCCACCCCCAUGGCCAUCGUCCUCCGGCUUAGACCAUCACACAGCCUCCUCGCCCGGUCUCCUUGCCUUUACUGCCACCCUCCCCAGCCCACCUCCACCCAGCAGCCACGGAGCCUCUGAGCUGCAGCCCUCCGGGGUCCUUUCAUGCCUUGGGCUCUCUGUGCUCAGAACCCUUCUCUAGCCUCCUCUUCUGCAUCUUGUAUAUCGAGCUGUGCUGUGCUGGCUUCACCCCAGUUUUUCAAACACACCAGUCUUUCCCGUCUCAGGGCCUUUGCACUGGCUUUCCUCAGCCUAGAAUUCCUUCCUCAAAUCGGAGUGUAACUGUGUGUUCGUAUUUGACCUCACUCACAAUGCCAUCUGUUUGGAGAGCCCGUUCCUGGCCACUCCUCUAAGUAGCAUCACCUCUUCUCCACUCUCUCACCCCUCUAUUUUACUGCCUCCGGAUCACUUACAAUUUUUGGAAAUUGUAUCACUUUGCAGGUCUGAGACAAGGACUUGGGGACUAGCAAUAGUUUAUUCUGGGGAGGGUGGAGUCUGGGAUCCAGGAAGCAGUGCAUCGGUGCACCUGGCUCUCAACUACAACUCCCAGAGUGCCCAGGCACCUCGAGCGCAUGUCUGCUUCCAGCUCAGGCUGGAGAUCUUCGCGUCCUUGUGUGGAAGCCAGGCGGCUUUGCAGGUGAGUGAGAGUGAACGGGUGUGUCUGCGUGCAUGAGCAGUGUGCGUGGCGGGUGAGCACGUCUGUGUUGGGGAGUGGGGUGUAUCAGUGUGCGUGAGCAGCAAAAUGUGACUGAGCCAGCAUGUGCACUGGUGUGUGCAGGUGACUGUGUGUACGGGCGUGUGUGAGGGCACCUGAUGCGUUUGAAGAUGUGUUUGUUCUAGUGAGGUAUGCGUUUAGGUGAACCAGUAUGCGUGUGUGAGCCCUCGAGCUUGUGAGUGUGCAUGUGGGCCAUUUGUGGGGUUGCACUAGUGGGAGCUGUGUGUCUUAUUCCUGUUGCCAAGUCUGUAUUUCUCUGCAGGUGUCUGCAGCUAAGUGUGCCAUUGUCCCCGUUGCCCUAAGCUUUAAGGGUGCCUGUGAGAUUUUACUUGUGAUUAAAGUGUGUGUGUAUGCAUAAUGCUCAUGGCUGCAGGUUUGAGGGAGUGGUAUGACGUAAGGGCUUAGAUGUUACUCUGUGUGUGUGCUGACGGGGACCUGCGUGCCACCUGACCCUGGGUGUGUGUACAGUUGUUGACAGGGCCUGGCCACGUGCGCGUGAGUCUGUAUCGGCGCGUGUGUCUGGUGAGGCUCUGGGUGUCGUUUGGUCGAGGGUUUUGUCAGUGCUGGUGUGUGGGUGGUGUGAUUGCACUGGUCCCGAGGGCAUGGGGGUGCAUGUCUGAGGCCAGGGACCAGUAUAAACGGGAGGCUGUGGUGCCAGGAGUGGGGUACUGUUCUCUUUUCUUCACUGCUAUACCUCUAGCACCUAGAAUUGUGCCAGGUACCCAGUAGGUGCUUAAUAAAUGCUUGCAGCAUGAACAAAUGGGAUCCUGUUCCCCCCUGCUCUUCCUAGUGGUGUGUUUCAGCUCUCUGCUGGGCUUUGAGUGCUGACUGGUGAGAGACAGUCCCUCCUGCACAAGCUGUCACGAGUGAGCGCGUCAGUGCACGCAGAGGGCUUAGAGCCGGCUCUUCCUGCGUGGACUGUGGUCUGCGUGUGUGCGUGUCAUCUCUCCGGUGCCUCAAGGUCCUUUGUGGGUGCCAAUGUCUGAUUUCCUGUCUCUGGGUCUGGUCUUGUUUGUGUCUGUGGACUCACAGCUCUGGGGUCAGCAGUCUGGGUCCCGACACCAGCCCCAGCCCUUUCUAGCUUUACGGCCUUAGGCACAUUGUGUCUCUGGGCCAGUUUCCCUCUCUGUGAAAUAGGACAAAGAGUUCUUACCUCAUGGCGUACUUACAAGGUCAGAUAAGGCAGCCGUGACCACAGCCCCAGGUCAGUGAGGACAGGAUGGCCAUGGAGGGAACGGGCUGGAGGUCAGAGGUGAAAGCCAGCAGAGCUCCAGGUCUGCCGAAGCAAGGAAGGUCAGCGGUGGGCAGGCUGAAAAGCAGAAGAGGCCAAGCCCCAGUUACCAGGGGGCCAGGCUCUGGAUGUGGUGACACCAUGGCAGAGAGGCUGGUCGUGUGCCCGGGACACAGGACCCGGAGACUUCCUGAUGGCCUCCUGUUGGUCCUUGAACUGGCGGGAGGGUUCUCUGCUGGGAAGGCUCCUGACUCUCCCUGUGAAGCCGCAUUUGCUAAGCCCUCGUGGGUGAUUUUUGGGGUGUCAGUAUACAGUUGCAGUCCUGGGAGCCGUAUGUCAGUGUGACUUAUGAAAGAGUGCGAGUUGGGAGAGUGACUUGCAUGAAAUUGUGUAAUUUUGUAGUUUGCUUCCUGAUUAUGUGUCUGUGACUGAAGGCCAGUUUGCGGUGAGAGUGUACUUUAUUUUGUGGGAGUGUGUGUGACAAGUAGCGAUGAGUGAUCUGGCGUGUCUCUGUGCGAUGGAGUGUGAGUUAUGUCUGUGACUUUGUGUUUGUGGGGGUUACCUGGUGGGUGGCUGUUGUGACUGUCAUGUAAGGCUGGGCGUCUGUGUGGGAGGAGCUCGCUAGUACUGCCUGAGGAAGGGCGUGGGGGGGGGUGUGGUGGCAGGGGUGGGGUCCGAUUAUGACACAUGUGUCCAAACCAAGUGGUCACACUGGUGAGUCUGUGGCUAAGGUGUCACUGUUCCCCUGGUGAGGCACCCUGUGAAGGAUGGUGUGUGGGGCCUGUUUUUUCUCUGAGGCCACACUGGGUUACUGAACGCUCGUUCUGUGCCAAGGUGCGGCUGGGGUGGGUGAGGGAGGGGUGCCCCCCCCCGCCCACGUGACAGAGCUGACUGCCCUCGUGUCUGUGCUCUGCACCCCGGUUUCUGCCACAGCCUGUGGUCAGGCGCACUGUACCAGCACUCUCCGUAUUACACACAGUGCGCUCUCAUACUCUUUCAAAUCCAUUCUAUUUCAAAACUUCUUGUCACAACCCACUAAAGCAGAGGUCUCACCUGGGGGCGACACGAGGCAUCAUCUGAAGCCAUUUCUGGCUGUCACAGUCAGGAGGGUGCUGCUGACACCUGGCAGAGAGAGGCCAGGGAUCCUGCUCAACGGCCCACCAUGUCCAGGUCAGUCCCCACAACACACACUUACCUGGCUCAGAAGUCAGCAGGACCAAAGCUGAGAAAUUCAGCUGACUCUAAAUUAGUUUUGUUUGAUGAGUCAUUGAUGAACCACAACUGCCUAAAAUUAGAUGUCCAUGUGAUCUGACCCCCGACCCAGACCCAGUGAGGUGGUGAGGGCUCCCUCAGCCCAUCCUGGGCCUAAGUAUCCUGAUCAGUCUAAGUGCUCAUCCUCCUGGAUGAGCUGGAUUCAGCCUUGACACGUUCCUUCCCUCUGUGGGUCACCCCGCUUCCCUGGAUUUGAGAGUCUGUGCAUACCUCUCCCUCUCCCAGCCUGGCCCCGAUGUCCACCUUCACUGGAGAGUCUGUGUAUCAGCCAUGCUCUCUAGAGAAACAGAACAUCAGUGAGAUUUAAGAAGUGGCUCCUGCAUCUGUGGGUUUGGCAAGUCCAAAAUUUGCAAGGCUGCAAACCAAGGUGGGUGUUGAUGCUGCCGUCCUAAGGCGGACUCUUCUCUGGGAAACCUCUUUUAGUUUGUAAGGUCCUUCAACGGUUGAGUGAGGCCCACCCACGUCAUCGAGGAUGACCACCUUUACUUAGAGUCAGCGGGCUGUAAAUGCUCCCCCCCAUCUAUAGAGUGUACCUCCACAGCAGGACCCAGACCAGUACCUGACGGCCUGGCCAGGCUGACGUGUAAGACCAGCCAUCACAACCGGUAAUACAGCAGCCACGUCUUACUCUCAGUGUCUCGUCUCGCAUCUUAUGGGAACCUGUAUUUUUGAAAACUUACUUUCAGGCUGGGAUGCCGGAGCUGACAACAGGACAUCUUCCAAGCACAACGUCUCUGAAAGCUAGGCCCCAAAAGGCUCUUGAGACAUGGAAUUCAUAAAGGCCGGCAGCGCGGACAGCCUCCCCAAGAGCGCGGUCCCGGCGUGAGCUGUGCGCAGCGGCAGAGGGGAGGCUUGGGCCAUCCCAAGUGUGGGAGAGCCUUCAGCUCCGGCUCCUUCCUCGCUCAGCACCGGCGAAUCCACUCGGGAGGGACCCUAUGAAUGAAGUGAGUGUGCGAGGACCAUCAGCCAGAGGGCAAACCUUACUCAGCACCAGAGAGAAACCAGAGUGCGAGGACUGUGCCAGAGCUUUUGGGCAGGGCCCCUCCCUCCGGGAGCACCAAGACGCCCACAGAGGCCACGUCCCCGCAGUGAAUGGGACCCUUCAGCAAAUGCUCAGCCCGCCUCUCCCAUCAGAACAUCCACAUUGGCGAGCAGCCCUGUCAGUGUACCGAGUGUGGGAAGGCCGCCCGCAGCCAGUCUUCAGUCAGCACCAGAGCACGCGCACUGGGGAGACCCUGUGAAGGCAGUGAGUGCACGAGGGCCUUCCGCUGGGCCUCCCCCCUUCCUCUCCACCAGAGAACUCAUACAGGCGAGAACGCCUACAAGUGCCCCAACUAUAGGAAGCCCUUCCCGUACAGGUCCUCCCUCACCGAGCACCAGAAAACCCACCCAGGAGAGAAAUGCUGCAAGUGCAGAGACGGCGAAACGUCUUCAGCUACAGCUCCUCUUGGCCUCGGGAGGAUCCCUGUACACGUAAGGCGUGGGGGGCCACCUUCAGGCACUGCUCUUUGCUGCCCAGGCACCAGAGGACCCACUGCAUCAAGACACCUGUGAAUGUUAGACUGUCUGAAAGCCUUGAGUCGUGCGUGGUUCGUAUAAAAUGUACAUCAGAGGCACCACACCAGGGGGACGUCCUACAGAUACAGUGAUUUGGUGGCAACUUCCAACACUUCUUACUGAAACACGUGUGUAUGGAACCUUCAGAUUUCAUUCAGCCCUCCAGAUGCCUAAGACAUCACACUGUACAUUACUCAUGGGGAUAUGGGUUGGGGGUCCGCAAACCACCCCUAGGUUCAGUGACCCACUGGAAGGACUCUGAGAACGCGGCAUAGUCACACCCACGGCUAAGACUUACCACGGUGAAAGGAUUCACUACGCAACCAGCAAUGGGAGAAGGUGCACGAUGGAGUCUGGAGGAGACGAGGUGUGAGCUUCCAGAGUCCUCUCCCCAGGAAGUUGCUCCGGACAUGCUCAGUUCCUCCAGCGAGAUGUGGCAGCACUUUCCUGCCUCCUCCUCCAACCUGUGGAGCUCUUUCCUGACCUCAGGGCCUUUGCUUGUGCUGCACCUUCUGUCCAGAACAGCUCCUCCCCGUGUUCCAGGGCUGACUUCUCACCCUGUGGUUUUGACUCAAAGGCUACCUCCUCAGAGAGCCCUGUUUGGACUCCCCAGUCUAAGCUCAGCCCUCCCAGGAUCACUGCCUGUACCCCACACCUGGUUUUCUUUCCCUCUGUAGUAUGUACCACCUUGUUUUGUCUUUUUAUUACACACUGAAGUUUGAGAAGUACUAGUUUCAGGAAAGAGUUGAUUCAGAUGGAGGCCUUCAGGUCAAGCAUACCUCUCCAGCUCAGCCUCAGGCCCCACUCACCUUUGCACAAAGGGCCUGGUCCCUGCAGGCACUCCCAGUUUUCAACCCUUGCCUUAAGCUAGUGUUUCUGAAACUUAAGCCCUCUGGGGGCUGUGCUGAAAGCUAGUUAAAACCCACAGUGAUCAGGAGGUCUGAGAGCGCCUUUCUAGCACUUUCCCUUGUGUAUGAGUUUCUUAUGACUGCUCUAACAAAUUACCACAAACUGGGAGCCUUAAAACAACAGAAAUUUCUCUCACCAUUUGAGGCCAGAAAUCUGAAAUCAAGGCGUCAGCAGGGGUGCACUCCGGCUGCAGGCUUUAGGGGAGGAAGGCUCCUUCCUGGCCUCUUCAGCUCCUGGCGGCUCCUGGCGUUGCUUGCCUGGUGGACGAGUCAUCCAGUCUUCAAAUCCUGUGUGUCAGACUGCCCUCUGCCUCCCUCUUGGAAGGACACAUCUUUUGGCAUUUAGGGCCCAUCCAGACAGACCAGGAUAACCUCUCUACCUUGAGAUCCUUAGUCACGUCUGAAAAGACCCUUUUCCAAAUUAGGUAACAUCUAGUUUCCAGCGGUAGGACCUGAACUCUUUGGGGGCCACCCUUAGCCUACUACACCAUGUAAUGGGGAACUGCUCUGGUCACAGUGAAUCACACGGGCCUCAAACCUCCAGGCCGGGUCACAGUGUGGCCUGGGAGUCACAAGGGCCGGGCCUGGACUCAGUCCUGACACCACCGAUUUCUAGUUGCAUGCUCUUGAGCAAACUGCUGCAUCUCCCAACCUGUUUCCUCUCAAUCCCCACCUAGUUGGAGCGUGGGGAUUAGACACCAUGUAAGCACCCAGCAUAGGAUCUGACCCAUAGUAAUUCUGAUGCCUCCAAGUGGGCAUACAAAACUGAGCAUUCCAGUUUCUACUGAAAAAUCUAAGGCUCUGGUAACAGUAGGUCCUUCGGUUAGAAUUAUUUCCCCUCUUCACUACAUUCUGCAUCCCACCUACCUGGCUCCCUCAGGUGGAUGGGUUUGCAUCCUACAGACACGUUCUUUGCAGCUCAGGCCUUUUCUUCUCUAUUCCAAACCGGUCUUUCUACCUGAAAGGCUAAAGCAGGUCAGAUGCCAUGGCAGAGGGUCCCACCUGGAGGAGACCUGCUGCUCAGGUGGCCUAGACCAAGAGUGGGAGGAGAUUCAGUGCUGAGGCCCAGGGUGGGGGCAUGGCUGACCCCUGUGAGGUAUAUUCACAAGCAUGUGUGGGUGUGGGUGUGGGUGUGGAUACAUAUACUCACCACACUGCUGUGCGUCUCUGCAUUUUCCUUCAGGGCAUCCGUGGCCCCCAACUACUUUUGGAAGCCUGGGGUCUGGUUGGCUUAAAUGCAUGCAGGGGGGCAACGGUGAAGUAACCCCAUUUCCUGGGGUGCUGGGUUUUUGAGAACUAUAACCAAAAACACCCCUACACAAAGAAACCUACAACUGCAACAGUAUGUCAGAAUAACUAAGGAAAACUGAUGAGAAGAAAACCACAAAACCUUACCAGCUGAUAAAAAUGCUUGAAUAUAUAAAAGGAAAAUAUAUUCCUAGAUGCUAAGAUUAAAUUUAACAAUGUUAAUUCUCCCUAAGUUCACGUCAAUAAUUAUUAAAAGGCUGUUUUUAAUUGGUAAACAAAUUUUCAUCUAGAAGAAUAACAAUUAUUUCAUAUACUUUUUAAAGGCACAAUGAAUUCUGGUUUUUGAAGUGAAAAAAGUGAAUAAAGGGCUGCAAAUGGCAAAAUAUCCUUUUUUAUAGGUGAGUUGUAUUCCAUUACAUAUAUAUAUAUAUAUAUAUAUAUAUAUAUAUAUACACACACACUACAUCUUCAUCAUCUAUUCAACUGUUGAUGUGCACUUAGGAUGCUUCCAUAUCUUGGCAACUAUAAGUAAUUUUGCUGUUACAUACACCCUGCUAUUAUCUUUAUGAGUUAAUUCUUAUUUUGUGGUUGGCUUUAUUCCUUUGAUAACUAUGUAAGUUUAAAAAGCUAAAGCGUUAAACGUUCUUAGAAACAAUCAACAAGUACAUAUAUGUAAAUUAAAAAGUAUAUGUACGGUAAAAAAAAAAAUUAUCUAUCAAGCCAUGAAAGAUAUGGAAGAAACUUAAAAGGCUACAAACUGUACAAUUCCAACCAAAUGACAUUCUGGAAAAGGCACAGCUAGAGAAACAAAAAGAUCAUGGUUUCCAGGGGCCUGGGAAGAGGCAGGGAGGGAGGAAUGAAUAGAUACGGAGCACAAGGGAUUUUUAGGGCAAUGAAAUUAUUCUGUAUGAUACUAUAGUGGUGGCUACAUGUCAUUAUGAAUUUGUUAGAACCCAUAGAAUGUACAAUAUCAAGGGUGAACCUUAAUGUAAACUACAGACUUUGGUUGAUAAUAAUGUGCCCAUGUUGGUAAAUCAAUUGUACCAAAAUAUGCCACACUAAUGAGGGAUGUUGAGGGUAGGAGAGUAUAUGUGUGGGUGGGGAGGGCUAUGUGUGAACUCUGUUAUUUUCUGCUCAGUUCUGUUGUGAACCCGAAACUGCUCUAAAAGAAUAGUCUGUUUAAAAAAAUACCACAAAUUCUCUAGGAAUCAAUUUAACAAAGCAUGCUCAAGGCAUUUAUAGAACUUUACAAUUCUACUAAGGGAUAUAAAAUAAAAUCUGAACAAACUAAAAGAUAAAAAAAGGCAAAAUAAUGGAAAACUCAUAAUGCUAUAAAAAUUUUAAAAUAUAGAUCUAGGAUAAAAUAGGGCAACAAGACAGUGAAAGUGAAUGAUCCAGAUACAGAGCCUAUUAUAAAAUAAUAUAUUAUGACUGUAUGUAUCACUUAUUAAAGUUAAUGUUGGAGAUCUAACAAUGGGAAAUAAUUUUUAUCCUAUUCUGUAAGACAUCAAAGUAACUACAAGAUUAGUAAAAACGAUAAAACACUAAUGAAGGAAAUUACAGAUGAUUUCACAAAAUGGAGAAAGAUAGCCCAUGUUCUUGGAUUAGAAGAAUUACAUGUUAAAAUGGCCACACUACCCAAAACAAUCUACAGAUUCAAUGCGAUCCCUAUCAAAUUACCCAGGACAUUUUUCACGGAACUAGAACAAAUGUCCUAAAAUUUAUAUGGAAUCGCAAAAGACCCAGAAUUGCCAAAGCAAUACUGAAGAAAAAGAACGAAGCUGGAGGAAUACCCCUCCCAGACUUCAGACAAUACUACAGAGCUACAGUCAUCAAAACAGUGUGAUAUUGGCACAAAACAGACAUAUGGAAAAAUGGAGCAGAUUAGAGAGCCCAGAAAUAAACUCACACACCUACAGUCAAUUAAUCUUUGACAAAGGAGGUAAGAAUGUACCAUGGAGGAAAGACAGUCUCUUUGGCACAUGGUGUUGGAAAAGCUGGACAGCAGCAUGUAAAUCAAUGAAGUUAGAACACUCCCUCACACCAUACACAAAAAUAAACUCAAAAUGGCUUAAAUAUUUAAACAAGACAAGACACCAUAAAUCUAGUUAAGAACAUAGGCAAAACAUUCUCUGAUAGAAAUUGUAGCAGUGUCCUCCUAGGUCAGUCUACCAAGGCAAUAGAAAUAAAAGCAAAAAUAAACAAAUGAGACCUAAUUAAACAUAUAAGCUUUUGCAAAGAAAAGGAAACCAUAAGCAAAAUGAAUAGACAACCUAUGGACUGGGAGAAAAUGUUUGCAAAUGAUGCAACUGACAGGGGCUUAAUUUCCAGAAUACACAAACAGCUCAUACAACUCAGUAACAAAAAUACAAACAACCUAAUCAAAAAAAUAGGCAGAAGAUCUAAGCAGACAUUUCUCCAAUGAAGACAUACAGAUGGCCAACAGGCACAUGAAAAGAUGCUCAAUAUUGCUAAUUAUCAGAGAAAUGCAAAUCAAACUAUAAUGAAGGAUCACCUCACACCAGUCAGAAUGGCCAUCACUCAAGUCCACGAAUGAUAAAUGCUGGAGAGGGUGUGCAGAAAAGUGAGCCCUCCUACACUGUUGAUGGGAAUGUAGCUUGGUGCAGCCGUUAUGGAAAACAGUAUGGAAAUUUCUUUAAAAAGUAAAAAUAGACUUACCGUAUGAUCCAGCAAUCCCACUCCUGGACAUAUAUCCGGAGAAAAAUAUAAUUCAAAAAGACACCUGCACCCCAAUGUUCAUAGCAACACUAUUCACAAAUAGCCAAGACAUGGAGACAGCCUAAAUGCCCACUGACAGAGGACUGGAUAAAGAAGCUGCGGUGUAUUUAUACAAUGGAGUACUGCUCAACAUAAAAAAGAAUAAAAUGCCAUCUGCAGCAACAUGGAUGGACCUGGGGAUCAUCAUUCUAAGUGAAGCCAGAAAGAGAAAGGCAAAUACCAUAUAUCACUCGUAUGUGGAAUCUUAAAAAAAAAAGAAAAAAGAAAAAAGGACACUAUGAACUCACCUACAAAACAGAAACAGACCUGCAGACAUAGUAAACAAUCUUAUGGUUACUGGGGAAAGGGUGUAGGAAGGGAUAAAUCUGGGAAUUUGAUAUUUACAAAUGUUAACCUCUAUAUAUAAAAAUAGAUUUUAGAAAAAGUUUCUGCUGUAUAGCACAGGGAACUAUGUUCAAUACCUUGUAAUAACCUUUAAUAAAAAAUAUGAAAA